Molecule: ribosomal RNA, 253 nt
Filed under: uncultured bacterium
Lineage: Bacteria
Description: partial 16S ribosomal RNA
Rfam family: Bacterial small subunit ribosomal RNA
Source: RNAcentral
UACGGGGGGGGCAAGCGUUGUUCGGAAUUACUGGGCGUAAAGGGCGCGUAGGCGGCUUCGGAAGUCAAGGGUGAAAGCCCCGAGCUCAACUCGGGAACUGCCUUUGAAACCACGGAGCUAGAGUGUUGGAGAGGAAAGCGGAAUUUCCAGUGUAGCGGUGAAAUGCGUAGAUAUUGGAAGGAACAUCUGAGGCGAAGGCGGCUUUCUGGACAGACACUGACGCUGAGGCGCGAAAGCCAGGGGAGCAAACGGG